This 254-nucleotide unclassified non-coding RNA is filed under the name Hevea brasiliensis (rubber tree). Lineage: Eukaryota; Viridiplantae; Streptophyta; Magnoliopsida; Malpighiales; Euphorbiaceae. The record is from RNAcentral.
GAGAGAGAAAGAGAGAGAGAGAGGCUUUAGGCCAAGUGUGAAAGAAUCAGCCAAAUCGCUAGCAAAUGACCGUAGCUGGGAUCGAGUUACCUCCAGGCUUCAGAUUUCACCCCACUGAUGAGGAGCUAGUCCUUCAUUACCUCUGCAGAAAGUGCUCCUCGCAGCCCAUCGCCGUCCCCAUUAUCAAGGAGAUUGACCUUUACAAAUACGACCCCUGGCACCUCCCUGAAUUGGCCGUCUGUGGUGAAAAGGAG